GCCUGCUUAGCUCAGCGGUUAGAGCAUCGCUUUUGUAAUGCGAUGGUCAUCGGUUCAAUUCCGAUAGCUGGCU
This 73-nucleotide transfer RNA is filed under the name Cuscuta indecora. RNAcentral describes it as "tRNA-Thr". It matches the Rfam family "tRNA". Rfam says of the family: Transfer RNA (tRNA) molecules are approximately 80 nucleotides in length. Their secondary structure includes four short double-helical elements and three loops (D, anti-codon, and T loops). Lineage: Eukaryota; Viridiplantae; Streptophyta; Magnoliopsida; Solanales; Convolvulaceae. The record is from RNAcentral.